RNAcentral lists this ribosomal RNA (246 nucleotides) under uncultured bacterium. RNAcentral describes it as "partial 16S ribosomal RNA". It matches the Rfam family "Bacterial small subunit ribosomal RNA", at positions 796 to 1041 of the family's 1533-position model. The record is from RNAcentral.
CAUGCCGUAAACGAUGUCAACUAGCCGUUGGGCUCCUUGAGGGCUUAGUGGCGCAGCUAACGCGAUAAGUUGACCGCCUGGGGAGUACGGUCGCAAGACUAAAACUCAAAUGAAUUGACGGGGGCCCGCACAAGCGGUGGAGCAUGUGGUUUAAUUCGAUGCAACGCGAAGAACCUUACCUGGCCUUGACAUGUCUGGAAUCCUGCAGAGAUGCGGGAGUGCCUUCGGGAAUCAGAACACAGGUGC